UACCUGCAGCCCGAGUGGUGGUCGAUUUUAUUGAGUCUAAAGCGUUCGUAGCCGGUCCGUUAAAUCCUUGGGUAAAUCGGGAAGCUCAACUUUCCGACUUCCGAGGAGACUGGCGGACUUGGGACCGGGAGAGGCCAGAGGUACUUCUGGGGUAGGGGUAAAAUCCUGUAAUCCUAGAAGGACCACCGGUGGCGAAGGCGUCUGGCUAGAACGGAUCCGACGGUGAGGGACGAAGCCCUGGGUCG
This 245-nucleotide ribosomal RNA is filed under the name uncultured Methanomassiliicoccus sp. RNAcentral's name for it is "partial 16S ribosomal RNA". It matches the Rfam family "Archaeal small subunit ribosomal RNA", at positions 474 to 719 of the family's 1478-position model. Lineage: Archaea; Methanobacteriati; Thermoplasmatota; Thermoplasmata; Methanomassiliicoccales; Methanomassiliicoccaceae. The record is from RNAcentral.